Molecule: transfer RNA, 74 nt
Filed under: Bacteroidaceae bacterium
Lineage: Bacteria; Pseudomonadati; Bacteroidota; Bacteroidia; Bacteroidales; Bacteroidaceae
Description: tRNA-His
Rfam family: tRNA
About the family: Transfer RNA (tRNA) molecules are approximately 80 nucleotides in length. Their secondary structure includes four short double-helical elements and three loops (D, anti-codon, and T loops).
Source: RNAcentral
GUGGUUAUAGUUCAGUUGGUUAGAGCGUCAGAUUGUGGUUCUGAAUGUCGUGGGUUCGAGUCCCACUAUCCACC